GAGCGGACAGAUGGGAGCUUGCUCCCUGAUGUUAGCGGCGGACGGGUGAGUAACACGUGGGUAACCUGCCUGUAAGACUGGGAUAACUCCGGGAAACCGGGGCUAAUACCGGAUGGUUGUUUGAACCGCAUGGUUCAAACAUAAAAGGUGGCUUCGGCUACCACUUACAGAUGGACCCGCGGCGCAUUAGCUAGUUGGUGAGGUAAUGGCUCACCAAGGCAACGAUGCGUAGCCGACCUGAGAGGGUGAUCGGCCACACUGGGACUGAGACACGGCCCAGACUCCUACGGGAGGCAGCAGUAGGGAAUCUUCCGCAAUGGACGAAAGUCUGACGGAGCAACGCCGCGUGAGUGAUGAAGGUUUUCGGAUCGUAAAGCUCUGUUGUUAGGGAAGAACAAGUACCGUUCGAAUAGGGCGGUACCUUGACGGUACCUAACCAGAAAGCCACGGCUAACUACGU
RNAcentral lists this ribosomal RNA (460 nucleotides) under Bacillus sp. UT3. RNAcentral's name for it is "bacterial SSU rRNA". It matches the Rfam family "Bacterial small subunit ribosomal RNA", at positions 64 to 506 of the family's 1533-position model. Lineage: Bacteria; Bacillati; Bacillota; Bacilli; Caryophanales; Bacillaceae. The record is from RNAcentral.